Molecule: long non-coding RNA, 826 nt
Filed under: Homo sapiens (human)
Lineage: Eukaryota; Metazoa; Chordata; Mammalia; Primates; Hominidae
Description: HSALNT0348156
Source: RNAcentral
GCCUUCUCCUGUCUGCCACCACGUGAGAUGUGCCUUUCACCUUCCACUAUGAUUGUGAGGCCUCACCAGCCAUGUGGAACUAGUUCAAGAUUUCAACAUUUUAAGAUAAUCUGAAAAAAAUUGGAAUGUGCCCCCAGCUGCCAAUACUCUCUCAACACUGUUUAUCAAAGGAACCAAUAUGGAAGGAAAAACAUUGCUUUGAAGGGAAGAUGGAUGGAUCCCCUAGUAAACUACAGCUUGAGGUGCAAUUUCCUAAAGUUCAAAUGCCUGAAAAAGGAAACGAAAGAAAGAAACUCAACUCUUGAGACAGCUUCAAUGCUAGCUUUGAUCUCAAUUAUAGAGUUAUUUAUGAAAAGUGCAUUUUUACAACUAAAAAUAAAUUAGGAUCAAAAGCUUCUAGAGGCUAUACUAUGGAGUGCUUAAUAAAAAGUUGAGUAAAGAGUAAUGAAUGGCUUUGUACUAUUAAUUUGAAAGAAUUACCUUCUCUUUUAAACAGCUGCCAAGAUAGUGAAGAUUGACAUGUCACAGGAAAUUAAAACAAAUGGUUUCUAGUCCUGUAUGCCUUGGUGGGUAAACAGUAGGAUAGAGCCCUUACCUGGGAAGCUGUGGGCUGGACUCUACCUCUAACUGUGUGCAACCAUUAAAGGAGCAACCUUCAGCAAGUUUAUUUAACUCUCUGGGCCUCAAAUUACCUACUCCUAAAGUGCACGAGAAGAACUAGUUCUUCUCUGAAAUUCUUCCUGUCUCCAAUGGCCUGUUCCUUAGUUCCUGUUAACUAAGCAUACUCACACUCUAAUAAAUACAUGUAAAAUCUUACCCCUUAUAG